GGAUAAGCAGGCUGGAAGAGCCGACUCCUACGGCUGCGAUCCAAGAGGUGCCUGCAACAGUUGCCCCCCGACUUCUGUCGCCCCCAUGGAGGCAAACAAGUCUGGAACAGGGAAUGGGGGUCUGGGAGAGAAGAUGAAAAGACUGAGGAUCAGAGAGGUGAGCAGUAGCUUUCCCAAAGGCCCAGAGCCAAGAAGCGUUGAAGCUUAAAAGCACGCCGCGGCAGGGAAGAUCAAGCAAGCCCUGCGCCUAUCUGCAGCUUGAUCUCUCUGUACUGAGCCAUGGAGCUCCUUCUUGGAGGCGUGAAAUGCUCCCCAUCCUUCAGGAGACAACAGCAACAGCCAGCCACUCCUUGUCCAGUCAGCAAUGCUGGAAUACCUCUGCAGCUCACAGUCCAACGCCCACAGCCUUCGAGUCAGUUUCUUGAUAUUCGGCAAUGCACUGGACUCCUGAUCCCAUCAGCUCCUGGCUGAAGGUGGGCCAACCCUUCCCCAUUUCCUUCAAUUCAAACAUUUCCUCAUGUCCCUCAGUGCCAAGCCCUGUGCUGGGAGCUGAGGACCCAGAGGUGAGCUAGAUCUAAAAUCUGACCUCAAGGAGCUAACAGUCUGAGAGGAAGACUGGAGUGGAUAAAAAUACCUUGGUAAUUUAUCACUUAAUAAAUAUCCAAUAAAUGCUAUUAUGUGCCAA
This 685-nucleotide long non-coding RNA is filed under the name Homo sapiens (human). Its description in RNAcentral is "non-protein coding lnc-ZNF574-1:3". Lineage: Eukaryota; Metazoa; Chordata; Mammalia; Primates; Hominidae. The record is from RNAcentral.